Molecule: long non-coding RNA, 1089 nt
Organism: Gasterosteus aculeatus (three-spined stickleback)
Lineage: Eukaryota; Metazoa; Chordata; Actinopteri; Perciformes; Gasterosteidae
Source: Ensembl
AUCAAAAUAAAUCUCCUCAAGGGGAGAUCUCCUUGCAGAGGUCGUGUCCCACUUGAGGAGCUCUGAGGAGCUCUGAACCCCCUCAGACGUCAGAGGACGGAUGUCACAGGAAUGCCGGUGAGGGACACGGAGCUCCUCUGUGUUCUCUGCUGCUAAAAAUACAGCGUGGCUAAAGUGACUCCCUGCUCCUCUUUGGGAGUAUUAAAAGCAAUGGAAGCCCCCCCAUCUACUCCUCCAUCACCCACCCAUCAGCCUCCACCUUUUCCCUUGUUCCCUCCAGCUUCAGACCCCCUGCUGGUGUGACGGUGAGGCUCCUUAAGCGCCAUUGGCUGAAUAGUGAUUUAAGUUCUCACAGCGAGAGUUUAACGUGUGUUGAAUUUCACAGUUGCUUCUGAGAUGGUUUGAGAUGUGAUUUAUCUCCAGAUUCUGUUUCCAUCUCAUCAACGUAGAAAUGAACUCGGUCAGAACCACAAACGGAGCUUCGUUUGCUGUGAGAGAAGAGAUGACGCGUUGGGUUCAAACAUCAUAAUUUAAUUCUAGUUCCACUACAGCAAAGCUCCAAACAACGAGUUCACGGGUUCAUGCAACAUCUACGGUGGAGUCGGGCCGGUUCCCUCGGGGGGUUCCAGCGGUUCCCUCCGGCCCACCGAGUCUAAUCCUUCUACCACAAAGACGGACACUCGGGACCAUCUAACAAAGAACAAACUGGACCAAACAAGGAGCUCAUGUUAUCGUCAGAACAACGCGCAGAACCUCGGAUCCAGUUCUGGAGAGACGUCGAGAAUCAGGCAAUCAACAGUGUUCCAUCAGAUAAAUACGGAGGAUCCACAGUGUUCAGAGUCCCAGAGGACGGCAACGCCACGGCAUCACCAACCAGGCGGUAAACAAAAAAACACAAAUAUGGAGCAAAAUAUUCCAAAUAAGGCCCCUGAAGGAAUUCAAACUAUUGGUGAUGAAGGACGGGAGAAGAGGCACCAAAAAGUUGAGAUAUCAAAAAUGCGCCAGUCUGUGGUAGGAAAACGUUCCCUCGUGUUUCAUAAAAAGGUGGAGCGGGUGGAGCGGCUACAUCAUCCUGGAGGACGUUCCUGA